Molecule: regulatory RNA element, 111 nt
Rfam family: pan motif
Source: Rfam
AGGACGGUAUCCACUUGGAACCGUACCCAUUCAGAAUCAAAACACUCAAGAAUUCUUACUAAACUACUGAUCAUCAGCCUGCCUUGAUCCGUGCUGGACAGGGACAGAAGG